CAGAAAGUAGUUUAGUUGAAAAUACCAGCUUUGGGAGUUGGAGGUGGGGGUUUAAUUCCCCCUUUUCUGA
This 70-nucleotide transfer RNA is filed under the name Zenaida auriculata (eared dove). RNAcentral's name for it is "tRNA-Pro". It matches the Rfam family "tRNA". Rfam says of the family: Transfer RNA (tRNA) molecules are approximately 80 nucleotides in length. Lineage: Eukaryota; Metazoa; Chordata; Aves; Columbiformes; Columbidae. The record is from RNAcentral.